UUGCCUUAGUAACGGCGAGUGAAGCGGCAACAGCUCAAAUUUGAAAUCUGGCGUCUUUGGCGUCCGAGUUGUAAUUUGCAGAGGAUGCUUCGGCGAUGGCGCCGCCCAAAGUUCCUUGGAACGGGACGUCGCAGAGGGUGAGAGCCCCGUGUUCGGGCGGAUGCCUUCGCCGUGUGAAGCUCCUUCGACGAGUCGAGUUGUUUGGGAAUGCAGCUCAAAACGGGAGGUAAAUUUCUUCCAAAGCUAAAUACCGGCCGGAGACCGAUAGUGCACAAGUAGAGUGAUCGAAAGAUGAAAAGCACUUUGGAAAGAGAGUCAAACAGCGCGUGAAAUUGUUAAAAGGGAAGCGCUUGCGGUCAGAACUUGGCCGCCGUUGCUCGGGGAGGUCUUGCGCCUCCCUCGCUCUUCGGCGGCUGGGCCAGCAUCGGUUCGGGCGGCUCGAGAAAGGUCGCGGGAACGUAGCUCCCUCCGGGGAGUGUUAUAGCCCGCGGCGCAAUAGGGCCCGCCUGGACCGAGGUCUGCGCAUUUGCUCGGAUGCUGGCGUAAUGGCCCCAAGCGGCCCGUCUUGAAACACGGACCAAGGAGUCUAACAUUCGUGCGAGUGUUCGGGUGUCAAACCCGUGCGCGCAAUGAAAGUGAACGUAGGUGGGAACCCCUCGCGGGGCGCACCAUCGACCGAUCCUGAUGUCUUCGGAUGGAUUUGAGUAUGAGCACGUAUGUUGGGACCCGAAAGAUGGUGAACUAUGCCUAAGCAGGGCGAAGCCAGAGGAAACUCUGGUGGAGGCUCGCAGCGGUUCUGACGUGCAAAUCGAUCGUCAAAUUUGGGUAUAGGGGCGAAAGACUAAUCG
Molecule: ribosomal RNA, 848 nt
Filed under: Muyocopron laterale
Lineage: Eukaryota; Fungi; Ascomycota; Dothideomycetes; Muyocopronales; Muyocopronaceae
Description: partial 28S ribosomal RNA
Rfam family: Eukaryotic large subunit ribosomal RNA
Source: RNAcentral